Molecule: ribosomal RNA, 301 nt
Filed under: uncultured bacterium
Lineage: Bacteria
Description: partial 16S ribosomal RNA
Rfam family: Bacterial small subunit ribosomal RNA
Source: RNAcentral
CAGUAGCCGCGGUAAAACGAAGGGUGCAAGCGUUACUCGGAAUUACUGGGCGUAAAGCGUGCGUAGGUGGUGGUUUAAGUCCGUUGUGAAAGCCCUGGGCUCAACCUGGGAAUUGCAGUGGAUACUGGGUCACUAGAGUGUGGUAGAGGAUAGUGGAAUUUCCGGUGUAGCGGUGAAAUGCGUAGAGAUCGGAAGGAACAUCUGUGGCGAAGGCGACUAUCUGGGCCAACACUGACACUGAGGCACGAAAGCGUGGGGAGCAAACCGGAUUAGAUACCCCUGUAGUCCCUGUCUCUUAUAC